UGGUCUCCUCGUUGCUGCUCGCGAAUGGGUAGAUAAAUGCGGAGGUGCAUCCCUGGUUGUAUCGCAGAGGAAACCGCGGUUCCGUAAGCGAGGGUUUGCACGGCUCGAGGGAUCUGGCCGAGUCACGGGACUGCCAGUAAGUUGCCAUUUGCAAGAUCUGGACCGAUUUUUGAGAAUUUUGGGACGAAGAGUGGUGCUCCAGCAGUGUCAGCAAGCCCAGAUGAUGUACAGAGGUGGUCCCGUCGGAACGUGAGCAAUAGCGGUGCACCCUGGAGUGUAUAUAGAGGUACGGCGGUGCAGGGUGCACCAAGCACGUCAUUGAGCAUCAGUCAUUUUGGGUCCUGUCUGUGGAGUGGGAUCACUGGCGGGGCUGCAGGCAGAUAAACUGUUUGGGUUCUACUUCCCACCUGUAAAGCGGAGCGGGUAUUGCUGGCUGGGUAGUAUGUAUGCUGACUUUGCUGUAUGAUACUUAACUCUGCUGAAGGCUUUAAGCUGCCUCACGGGUUGCUUUGUGUUCAGCUCAGUGCUCCAAGGAGGACUUGCCCUUGUCCAGCUUUGCUGGUGUAGAGUAGAUGUGUCCUGGGUGGAGAGGGGACAGACCAGGAUGCACAAAUGACCAUGUCAGGGGUUGCCACAUGUAGCCAUGGGUGGGUGCCACGUAGUAUACAGUAAUGGAGAGCUGAGGAAUAAAGCUCCUUUGGCCUCAGAACGCCAUCACCUUCCUCAUGGUUCGUUGCAUCGGGCUCCUGCUCUUUGCCGAGACAGUGGAAGAGGGGUUCAGACUCCCCAGGCGCCAAACGAACUCUUACAAAUUACCCGACCUUAGAGGCUGAGCCCUUUUGAAAGCUGUACAUUGAUUUCUUAAAAGUUUGGGGGGUUUUUUAAGAACUCUCUUAGGUGAAGCCGCUUGAAACAGCGGCCUUCACCAUGAACUGAUUGGUUAUGAGGUGACAACUGUCCCCAGGGAGGGCAGGGCAUGGCUGGGGUAUUUAGAGUGUGUCUGGAAUUUUUAUCCUAGUUUGCAGAACCGUUAGUUUUUUGAAGCUUUAACACAUCCGUGUGUGUGGUCAGGGUCCUCUUAAAAUAUCUGACAGAGGGAGACAGGCCUCUUGCAGCAGCUUCUCUGUAUCAGACCAGUCACAGGAGACGACCUGGAAAAAACCAGCUAUCACACACCCUAUCAUGUAAAUAAAUACAUCUUGCAAUUUUUCUAAGCAUCCACAGUCGGCUGUAUAUGCCGGAUGGAUAUGACUGCAUUAUUAUAGUCUGUCAUUUCAGCAUGAAUUCCGACACUAUUUUAAGUGAGUACUAUUUAAUAGGCUGGAAGAAGCCUUUGGAGCUGUUAUUAUCUCUCAUGUAAAUGCACGUUAAAGCAAUUUGAAGAGGCAUAUCAUCUUCCUGACGGACUGUAUCGCUCUUGUGGAAAGGCUGGGGGGUUUGUACCCUGCCACACCGCAGCUACCCACCCCCUGGGAUGGCAAACGGGAGGAGCUCGGACCCCCGGGAUGGCAGACGGAGAGAUGUCGGGCUGCUGCAAGGACCGGCCAAGCUGCUGCUGGGGCUACGGCCACGUGCCUAAGGAUGCUUUGCUUGGCAUGACCCAGUUUUGCGCUGGAGUCUUGAAGACAGAUGAGGGCAGUGGGGUGCCAACAGCAGUGGGACACCCAGGAGAGCCAGGGGCCCCUCCGACGGACCCCCUUCCCCACUCCUCCAGCCUGGCUUCCCCCUCUCUGACAGCGGAACAGCCCGGCAGCUCCAGCGGGGGAUAACCAACUGGGAAAACACCUCUUGCUUAGGAGCAAAAAGUUUUCUUUUUCUUUUUUUAUCUUCUUUUUUCCUCUUUUUUUCUUUUUGUUUUAUCUCUUCCUCUCCUUUCCUUUUUUUCUCCUUUCCUUUUUUCUCCUUUCCUUUUUUCUCCUUUCCUUUUUUCUCCUUUCCUUUUUUCUCCUUUCCUUUUUUUCUCCUUUCC
Molecule: long non-coding RNA, 1969 nt
Organism: Chroicocephalus ridibundus (black-headed gull)
Lineage: Eukaryota; Metazoa; Chordata; Aves; Charadriiformes; Laridae
Exons: 3
Source: RefSeq, a predicted model, not a curated record